CACACAAACACACACACACACACACACACACACACACGAGAGGGAGUUAAAAACACACGAUUACAACCCCCCGGCCGCCCCCCGCCCUGACCUGGGCGAACAGGUAAACCCAUCGCUCCCAUCGCCUCGGGUCGCUCUUGAGCAGACGCUCGCUGAGGCCAACCGCCUUGUCGUACGACUGUGUCGUCAUCAGCUCCUCAAUGUAACCGUCAACCACGCUGCGAAACAGCAGCACGAAUGUACGGAGUGACGAAGAGAAAAUCACCCACAGGGUGCCCUGGGUUUUAUAGCAACGGUAACGGUAACGGUAACGGUAACGAAACACUACGUUUGGUUGCAUGCCCG
RNAcentral lists this long non-coding RNA (345 nucleotides) under Volvox carteri. RNAcentral describes it as "long non-coding RNA (VCAR_LNC004319)". The record is from RNAcentral. Lineage: Eukaryota; Viridiplantae; Chlorophyta; Chlorophyceae; Chlamydomonadales; Volvocaceae.